Molecule: non-coding RNA, 1631 nt
Organism: Rattus norvegicus (Norway rat)
Lineage: Eukaryota; Metazoa; Chordata; Mammalia; Rodentia; Muridae
Source: RefSeq, a predicted model, not a curated record
AGCUUAGAGUGUGCCCUGCCCAUGUCAGUUUGGGGGUGGAGGAUUGGGGGGUCGCAGUAAUGAGAAGGCGAGCUUCCUUUUCCCCUGCUUUUUAUUCCUGCCCCUGCAUCCCUCUUCCAUGAGAGAGGAAACCACGAAACUCACAGCACAUCACAGACCACAUGGCGACCUCAGGGAGCAUCUGACCCCAUCAAGAAAGCUUCAAAAUGAAGGCCUUGAGCACCAACUGGUUCCUCCCACAUAAGACACCUCAAGCUUUCUGCAGUUCUACAGUUCCAUCCAGGGACACUGAAAUGGGUGGCAAUGCUAGACAAAAAAUUCAGGUCCAGUCUUCAACAUCCUCAGAACCUCAAAGAGUCAAGUAAGCAGACAGAUGAAACUCAGAAGUCAAUUUGGGUGAGAAAUUCUACAACUCUGAUUACAAAUGCAGAGUUGGAUUCUAAAAGAAAAACCGCCAAGCAGGACAGGUUUAACAAAUGCAAAUGUUAGUAGGUCCAAACAUCCCCAACUCAGAAAAACAGCAAACCUGUACAAGAAGAAAAAGAAGAAGAAAUCAGUCCAACCUUUCAACAGUCACCUAGAUGUAAAGACCUCCAUUUGUCAGUUACAGAUGCUAGAACCAGCUAGAUGUUUCCACAAACAAGGAGAAGCCUGUUCACUUCCUGCUAGAAACUCACCCACUUGGCAAAGACUCACACAGCUGGAAGGACGGACGGUGGCAUGCCCAAAGAACAGCCACCGUCAACAGAACAAAACCCAAAGCCGGUGACGACGCAAUGCACCUCUGACGGGAAAGGACAUCAGCAAGGCUGUGGUGGGAACCACUGAAGUGGUCCUCCUGAGACCCCAGGAGGAAGCUACCAUGUGAAGCAGUUAUGUGAUGACACCUCCCAUCUUCACUCAUAAGAGCCAGACAGAGGAAGCCUAGGUGUGCGUCAAUGCAUGAAUGAGGAAGGCGCCAAGGCUAACAGUGAAGCGGUAAUUUGCUACCAAGCAUAGUUACGUCCUUUGUAGGAAAACAAAACUAGAGAUCCUAUUAAGUGAAAUAAACCAUAAACCACACUCAAAAAAAAAAAAAAAAAAAAAAAAAAGGUUCCCUAUGAAGACUUUAGUUCAGUUUUUGUUUGUUGUUGUUGUUGCUGUUGUUUUGUUUUUUUUUUUUUCCCCAAGAGAGGGUGUAAAGGUACAACUGGAAGGAAUUAAGGAACCAGAGAUAAGGGUCAAGGAAUCUACUAGGAAUAGCAGUAGAUGAAACCAAAGAACAUUAUAUGCAUAAAAACGUCACAAGUAUGGGAGUCAUUGUGGACUGUCAGCUUGAGAGAACUGAGAAUCACCGGCCUCCGGGCAUGCCUGUGAGAUAUUGUGUUAAUCAUGUUCAUGGGGUAAGAAGACUAGCCCGCUAUAGAUGGCACCAUCCCUAGACUGUAUCCUCCUGGCUGUACAGAAUGGAGAAAGCCAGCUGAGCACUAGGCAAGAAUCUGCUGCUCUCUGUGGCUAAGGUUUCUUCAAAAAUAAUAAAGAUAUUGAUUACAUCAGACGUAGAACUCAAAUGUUGAUGUCAAUAUUAAGUAAAGGAAGCGGGACACAUAUACCAUAACCACACUACCCCCUGGUACUCUCUGUCCCCGUGG